This is a long non-coding RNA of Gopherus flavomarginatus (Mexican gopher tortoise), 810 nucleotides long. RefSeq lists it as uncharacterized. The record is from RefSeq and is a predicted model, not a curated record. NCBI's taxonomy places the organism in Eukaryota, Metazoa, Chordata, Testudines, Testudinidae. The transcript has 5 exons.
UGGGGCACUGUCUGUAUGGGGCACAUAUUCUCAGUUAAUCACAAAGGAGGGUGAAGAAUCUGGAGCAGGGUGGCGCUGUAUCUAAGGAGCACAGGCAGCAGUUAGACAGAGGGGACAGGGAAGGCUCUCGAGAAGCAGGGCACAGUCUUAAUGGGAUCAUAGGAUGGUAGUUAGGGAGGUGUCGGGGGAAUGUUCUGGAGAAGUAAAGCGCUGCCUGUGUGGGGCACGGCGUGGCUAUUAGCCAGAGAAUGUGAUGGGGGAAGGUUCCUGAGGAGCAGGGUGCUGUCUGUAUAGGGGAACAGACUGGCAGUUAGAGAGGUGGCGGGGAAGGUUUCCAAGGAGCAGGGUGCUGUCUGUAUGGGGACACAGACUGGCAGUUAGAGAGGUGGCGGGGAAGGUUCCUGAGGAGCAGGGUGCUGUCUGUAUAGGGGCAAAGACUGGCAGUUAGAGAGGUGGCAGGGAAGGUUUCCGAGGAGCAGGGUGCUGUCUCUAUGGGGGCACAGACUGGCAGUUAGAGAGGUGGCGGGGAAGGUUCCUGAGGAGCAGGGUGCUGUCUGUAUGGGGACACAGACUGGCAGUUAGAGAGGUGGCGGGGAAGGUUUCCGAGGAGCAGGGUGCUGUCUCUAUGGGGGCACAGACUGGCAGUUAGAGAGGUGGCAGGGAAAGUUUCCGAGGAGCAGGGUGCUGUCUGUAUUGGGGCACAGGCUGGCGGUCAGUCAGGGAGGUGAGAGGGAAGAUUCUGGAGGAGCAGGGCACUAUUUGUAGAGGGCAUAGGCUGGCAAUCAGUCAGGGAGAUACGAGGAAGCUUCU